UCCCUAGUGGCUCAGCUGGUAAAGAAUCUGCCUGCAAUGCAGAAGACUUGGGUUUGAUCCCUGGGUUGGGAA
Bos taurus (domestic cattle) is the source of this 72-nucleotide non-coding RNA. NCBI's taxonomy places the organism in Eukaryota, Metazoa, Chordata, Mammalia, Artiodactyla, Bovidae. The record is from Rfam.